RNAcentral lists this ribosomal RNA (638 nucleotides) under uncultured euryarchaeote. RNAcentral describes it as "bacterial SSU rRNA". It matches the Rfam family "Archaeal small subunit ribosomal RNA", at positions 240 to 879 of the family's 1478-position model. Lineage: Archaea; Methanobacteriati; Methanobacteriota. The record is from RNAcentral.
GGUAACGUCCCAACAAGCCGAUAAUCGGUACGGGUUGUGAGAGCAAGAGCCCGGAGAUGGAUUCUGAGACACGAAUCCAGGUCCUACGGGGCGCAGCAGGCGCGAAAACUUUACACUGCGCGAAAGCGCGAUAAGGGGACCUCGAGUGCGUGCGCAAUGCGUACGCUUUUCAGAUGCCUAAAAAGCAUGUGGAAUAAGGGCCGGGCAAGACCGGUGCCAGCCGCCGCGGUAACACCGGCGGCUCAAGUGGUGGCCGCUAUUAUUGGGCUUAAAGGGUCCGUAGCCGGACCAGUUAGUCCCUUGGGAAAUCUUACGGCUUAACCGUAAGGCUGCCAAUGGAUACUGCUGGUCUUGGGACCGGGAGAGGUAAGAGGUACCUCAGGGGUAGGAGUGAAAUCCUGUAAUCCUUGAGGGACCGCCAGUGGCGAAGGCGUCUUACUAGAACGGGUCCGACGGUGAGGGACGAAAGCUAGGGGCACGAACCGGAUUAGAUACCCGGGUAGUCCUAGCCGUAAACGAUGCGAGCUAGGUGUCACGUGGAUUGCGAAUCCAUGUGGUGCCGAAGGGAAACCGUGAAGCUCGCCGCCUGGGAAGUACGGCCGCAAGGCUGAAACUUAAAGGAAUUGGCGGGGGAGCAC